GCCAUUUCCCUCCUUACACCCCUCCCAAUGGGUGACAGUUGGAAAGUAACUAGAGGCAAAGGAUACGGAUUAUGCAAAGAAGGAAGGAGAGUCUGAGAAGAAGGGCUUUUUUGGAAGGAGGGUUGCCAGGCCUGGAACAAGCACAUGCCUAGAGGAAAAUCCCAUACUACAUACAAGGAGGAAGCCCAGGCCAGCAGCCGUUUUGCCUCAACUUGCGCACUCAUUUCAACAUUUCUCAUCUAUAAGCAAGGACACCUCUGGAAGACGCAAGGCCUGG
This 277-nucleotide long non-coding RNA is filed under the name Homo sapiens (human). Its description in RNAcentral is "HSALNT0359100". Lineage: Eukaryota; Metazoa; Chordata; Mammalia; Primates; Hominidae. The record is from RNAcentral.